GACGAACGCUGGCGGCGUGCUUAACACAUGCAAGUCGAACGGAAAGGCCAUGCUUUUGUUGGGUGCUCGAGUGGCGAAGGGGUGAGUAACACGUGUGUAACCUGCACUUGACUUUGGGAUAACUUCUGGAAACUGGGGCUCCUACAGGGUAUAAGAUCCUGCUGCAUAGGGGGGGUUGGAAAGUUUCGGCGGUUGGGGAUGGACUCGCGGCUUAUCAGCUUGUUGGUGGGGUAGUGGCUUACCAAGGCUUUGACGGGUAGCCGGCCUGGGAGGGGGACCGGCCACAUGAGGACUGAGAUACGGCACAGACUCCUAUCGGAGGCAGCAGUGGGGAAGAUUGCACAAGGGGCGGAAGCCAGAUGCAGCAACGCCGCGUGCGGGAAGAUGUGCUUCGGGUUGUAAACAGCUGUCGCCUGUGACGAAGAGUUAGUGACGGUAACGGGUAAAGAAGCACCGGCUAACUACGUG
RNAcentral lists this ribosomal RNA (468 nucleotides) under uncultured bacterium. Its description in RNAcentral is "partial 16S ribosomal RNA". It matches the Rfam family "Bacterial small subunit ribosomal RNA", at positions 28 to 507 of the family's 1533-position model. The record is from RNAcentral.